Molecule: ribosomal RNA, 253 nt
Filed under: uncultured bacterium
Lineage: Bacteria
Description: partial 16S ribosomal RNA
Rfam family: Bacterial small subunit ribosomal RNA
Source: RNAcentral
UACAGAGGUCCCAAGCGUUGUUCGGAUUCACUGGGCGUAAAGGGUGCGUAGGCGGUCGGGUAAGUCUGGCGUGAAAUCUCCAAGCCUAACUUGGAAACUGCGUUGGAUACUAUCCGGCUCGAGGAAUGGAGGGGAGACUGGAAUACUUGGUGUAGCAGUGAAAUGCGUAGAUAUCAAGUGGAACACCAGUGGCGAAGGCGAGUCUCUGGACAUUUCCUGACGCUGAGGCACGAAAGCUAGGGGAGCAAACAGG